RNAcentral lists this ribosomal RNA (468 nucleotides) under uncultured bacterium. RNAcentral's name for it is "partial 16S ribosomal RNA". It matches the Rfam family "Bacterial small subunit ribosomal RNA", at positions 28 to 507 of the family's 1533-position model. The record is from RNAcentral.
GACGAACGCUGGCGGCGUGCUUAACACAUGCAAGUCGAACGGAAAGGCCCUGCUUUUGUGGGGUACUCGAGUGGCGAACGGGUGAGUAACACGUGAGUAACCUGCCCUUGACUUUGGGAUAACUUCAGGAAACUGGGGCUAAUACCGGAUAGGAGCUCCUGCUGCAUGGUGGGGGUUGGAAAGUUUCGGCGGUUGGGGAUGGACUCGCGGCUUAUCAGCUUGUUGGUGGGGUAGUGGCUUACCAAGGCUUUGACGGGUAGCCGGCCUGAGAGGGUGACCGGCCACAUUGGGACUGAGAUACGGCCCAGACUCCUACGGGAGGCAGCAGUGGGGAAUAUUGCACAAUGGGCGGAAGCCUGAUGCAGCAACGCCGCGUGCGGGAUGACGGCCUUCGGGUUGUAAACCGCCUUCGCCUGUGACGAAGCGUGAGUGACGGUAAUGGGUAAAGAAGCACCGGCUAACUACGUG